This 301-nucleotide ribosomal RNA is filed under the name uncultured bacterium. RNAcentral's name for it is "partial 16S ribosomal RNA". It matches the Rfam family "Bacterial small subunit ribosomal RNA", at positions 509 to 808 of the family's 1533-position model. The record is from RNAcentral.
CAGCCGCCGCGGGAAUACGUAGGGUGCGAGCGUUAAUCGGAAUUACUGGGCGUAAAGCGUGCGCAGGCGGUUAUAUAAGACAGAUGUGAAAUCCCCGGGCUCAACCUGGGACCUGCAUUUGUGACUGUAUAGCUAGAGUACGGUAGAGGGGGAUGGAAUUCCGCGCGUAGCAGUGAAAUGCGUAGAUAUGCGGAGGAACACCGAUGGCGGAGGCAAUCCCCUGGACCUGUACUGACGCUCAUGCACGUAAGCGUGGGAGCAAACAGGAUUAGAUACCCCCGUAGUCCCUGUCUCUUAUACA